GGCUCAGGAUGAACGCUAGCUACAGGCUUAACACAUGCAAGUCGAGGGGAAACGAUAUUGGAAGCUUGCUUCCGAUAGGUGUCGACCGGCGCACGGGUGAGUAACGCGUAUCCAACCUGCCCGUCACUUGGGAAUAACCUUGCGAAAGCAAGACUAAUACCCAAUGAUAUCUCUAGAAGACAUCUGAAAGAGAUUAAAGAUUUAUCGGUGAUGGAUGGGGAUGCGUCUGAUUAGCUUGUUGGCGGGGUAACGGCCCACCAAGGCGACGAUCAGUAGGGGUUCUGAGAGGAAGGUCCCCCACAUUGGAACUGAGACACGGUCCAAACUCCUACGGGAGGCAGCAGUGAGGAAUAUUGGUCAAUGGGCGAGAGCCUGAACCAGCCAAGUAGCGUGCAGGAUGACGGCCCUAUGGGUUGUAAACUGCUUUUAUAAGGGAAUAAAGUGAGCCUCGUGAGGCUUUUUGCAUGUACCUUAUGAAUAAGGACCGGCUAAUUCCGUG
RNAcentral lists this ribosomal RNA (499 nucleotides) under uncultured bacterium. RNAcentral's name for it is "bacterial SSU rRNA". It matches the Rfam family "Bacterial small subunit ribosomal RNA", at positions 21 to 507 of the family's 1533-position model. The record is from RNAcentral.